Dryobates pubescens (Downy woodpecker) is the source of this 2161-nucleotide RNA transcript. It is a transcript of the gene named TAFA chemokine like family member 5, with no coding region annotated. The transcript has 5 exons. Lineage: Eukaryota; Metazoa; Chordata; Aves; Piciformes; Picidae. The record is from RefSeq and is a predicted model, not a curated record.
CCUGGGACAUCUUCAAAGCUCAGCACUGAGACGGGCAUCUGAGUCCCAGUAAAACGCAUCGCGCUUCUGAAUCCCACCACAGUAAUAGGAGGAAAUCUGGCCUGCAGCUACUGCGCCACAGUCUUGCAUGCUUUAGAGGUACCUUGGCUUUCUGACUGGAAGAUGAUUCCUGAAACAGGACUAUGUUGCUGCUGACAAACUGCGGGAUCGUUGGAAGAUGCCUUCCUUGAGGAUUACACGUGGAGAAAGGCCAUCAGUCAAGGGGAGAGCUGGCUGGUGAGACUGUCUGACUUUACCCCCCACCGGGGAAGUGGCUUCAAUGGCUCCAUCUCCCAGGAGAAGCAGUAGAAAAGAUGCCAACGCCUUGCCAAGCAUGUCCUCAACUUUCUGGGCUAUCAUGAUCCUGGCCAGUCUCCUCAUUGCUUAUUGCAGUCAGCUGGCUGCAGGUACAUGUGAGAUUGUUACUUUGGACAGAGAUAGCAGUCAGCCCCGAAGGACUAUAGCCCGACAAACAGCUCGCUGUGCAUGUAAAAAAGGACAGAUUGCCGGUACAACAAGAGCAAGGCCAGCCUGUGUUGAUGCACGAAUUAUCAAAACAAAACAGUGGUGUGAAAUGCUUCCAUGUUUAGAAGGAGAAGGCUGUGAUUUGCUAAUCAAUAAAUCAGGCUGGACCUGUACACAACCAGGAGGAAGGAUAAAGACAACCACGCCUGUCUGAGGCCAUGUGGUUUGGAGAUCUGAUCACUAGUCCGAAAAGGAAAGGCUGUUUUCAAGAUUUCUGGGGUGUUUUUUCCUGGAAAAGGUCUCCUGACAAAUGCAGCAACACAGAAUCCUCGUAGGAGUGGUUUAGGCUCUGUGUGAGCUACUUAACUUAGUCAAGUUUCACUGCUGUUGAUCAUCAUCCGUUAUAUGUCAUCAACUCAACUGUCUGUUUCUCUGUAUGUCACGAAUGACAGCAUAAUUCCUCUACAUUAUGAGCUAAAGUUUGUUCUACCAUACUAAGGAUCACUGGACUAAGGAAUAUAGAAAAAGAGAUAUACUUGGGCAUUAGCAAUACAAAAAAGUUCAUGGUUAACGUUUCAUCUGCGUUAUACACCACUGAUGGACUUGCUGUUACCUACGUGUUUUAAUCCGAAGAGUCUGCUACAAUGAAGAGUAUCAUCCCAAUCAGCCUUAGAGAAGACUGUUUUGCCUAUGGGAGGACACUAAGGUGCAAAAGAAAAACUCUUCUUGUGCCCUAAACUGUCUGAAUUGCUUUUAUUUUCUUAUACUUUCAGUAUAUACAAUAGACCAAAGAGCAAAAUCUAUUUUAAAGUGGACACAAUCUUACUAUUGAGUUAUGUCAUUAAAUUGUAGGAGGUCUCCACAAAGACAUUCCAGCUUUCAGAAAGCUGAGAUGUUGGUGUCCAGCAGAAGUCUUUAUGGAAAGCUGCAGUAAAAGCAUACGCAGUGACCUGCUCUUGACAUGCCACGUUUGAAAGAACAUAAUGGAGCACCGAGAGAAAACAACCUAUGUUUGAAAAAACUUGGACAAAAAGAACACAAACUGUCUACAUGGCACCUUUAUUCCUCUGUAUUUAGAUUGACUUUCUCGUACUAAAAUCAUUUUCAGUUUUAACCAGUUAAACAUGUCUCUUCUACAGUUCCAUUUUUGAUAGUUAAAGUUGGAUAAUACAGUAUUUGCAAAGAGCAUGUUUGGUCAUCUGUGGCCUAUGUCUCAUCUGAUACACCAUUUAGCACCAGAAAGCAAAUUAAAGAGAAAACAAAAGUAACACUUGUUUGAAAGAGAUCAUUAAAUGUAUUUUGAAAAGCCUAAAGUUAUAUAUUUAACAGUUUUUAUAUGUUGUAUAUUUGUAGAGAAUCCUAUUUAACAAUUAACGUGAUAACUCUGACGGUCAUGACAAGUGGUUCAGAGUUAAGUUGUGUUUUAUUACUUCAGUUGUCUCUGAAGUGACUGGUGUCGUUUGCUUUCUUCCAUUGGGACAUUCUGGAUGUAAAGCAUGACCAGAGAGGACUGUGUAGAAAAAGCAAAGAAUAAUGUUGUUUAUAUUACAUAAAUGCAUUCAACCAUUGCACUGUUGGAAGGCAUUUUUUAUUUUAUUUUUUGUCUUUAUGUACUGAUAAAAAUAGAGUGUAAAAUAUUUUACUCAUUGCUCGUCAU